RNAcentral lists this long non-coding RNA (331 nucleotides) under Trifolium pratense (red clover). RNAcentral describes it as "long non-coding RNA (TPRA_LNC005347)". The record is from RNAcentral. Lineage: Eukaryota; Viridiplantae; Streptophyta; Magnoliopsida; Fabales; Fabaceae.
UACAACCAACAUUUUAGGUACUCAAGGAGAAAGCUUUGAUUGAAUGUGAUGUGAUGCUUGAAGCGUGUACGAACGGGGAAAAAUUGGGUUUUGUAGUUUGAGAAUUUUAUGUAAUAAAUAGUUCUUUGUUGUAUUUUCUUCCGCUGAAAAUUUUCAAACAAUAAUUCAUUUUAUUAAGUUUAUAUUUCUCUGAAUUUCACUUCAAUUAUCUUUGUAACCAUUUUAUUUAAAAAUAAAAAUAGCAGCAUAUUUUCUAACUAAAUAACAUUUUUAAGAAGUAUCUUGGAUGAAAAUCCGGGAUGUUACAUUUGGUAUCAGAGCAAUAAUCCUC